RNAcentral lists this transfer RNA (73 nucleotides) under Synechococcus phage S-CAM9. It matches the Rfam family "tRNA". From Rfam's summary of the family: Transfer RNA (tRNA) molecules are approximately 80 nucleotides in length. Their secondary structure includes four short double-helical elements and three loops (D, anti-codon, and T loops). Lineage: Duplodnaviria; Heunggongvirae; Uroviricota; Caudoviricetes; Pantevenvirales; Kyanoviridae. RNAcentral also lists the same sequence under 1 other name. The record is from Rfam by way of RNAcentral.
GCAGGUUUAGCAAUCUGGUGAAUGCAGUGAACUCAUAAUUCACCUAAGGUGAGUUCGAUCCUCACAACCUGCA